Molecule: ribosomal RNA, 928 nt
Filed under: Latilactobacillus curvatus
Lineage: Bacteria; Bacillati; Bacillota; Bacilli; Lactobacillales; Lactobacillaceae
Description: bacterial SSU rRNA
Rfam family: Bacterial small subunit ribosomal RNA
Source: RNAcentral
AGUCUGAUGGAGCACGCCGCGUGAGUGAAGAAGGUUUUCGGAUCGUAAAACUCUGUUGUUGGAGAAGAAUGUAUUUGAUAGUAACUGAUCAGGUAGUGACGGUAUCCAACCAGAAAGCCACGGCUAACUACGUGCCAGCAGCCGCGGUAAUACGUAGGUGGCAAGCGUUGUCCGGAUUUAUUGGGCGUAAAGCGAGCGCAGGCGGUUUUUUAAGUCUGAUGUGAAAGCCUUCGGCUCAACCGAAGAAGUGCAUCGGAAACUGGGAAACUUGAGUGCAGAAGAGGACAGUGGAACUCCAUGUGUAGCGGUGAAAUGCGUAGAUAUAUGGAAGAACACCAGUGGCGAAGGCGGCUGUCUGGUCUGUAACUGACGCUGAGGCUCGAAAGCAUGGGUAGCAAACAGGAUUAGAUACCCUGGUAGUCCAUGCCGUAAACGAUGAGUGCUAGGUGUUGGAGGGUUUCCGCCCUUCAGUGCCGCAGCUAACGCAUUAAGCACUCCGCCUGGGGAGUACGACCGCAAGGUUGAAACUCAAAGGAAUUGACGGGGGCCCGCACAAGCGGUGGAGCAUGUGGUUUAAUUCGAAGCAACGCGAAGAACCUUACCAGGUCUUGACAUCCUUUGACCACUCUAGAGAUAGAGCUUUCCCUUCGGGGACAAAGUGACAGGUGGUGCAUGGUUGUCGUCAGCUCGUGUCGUGAGAUGUUGGGUUAAGUCCCGCAACGAGCGCAACCCUUAUUACUAGUUGCCAGCAUUCAGUUGGGCACUCUAGUGAGACUGCCGGUGACAAACCGGAGGAAGGUGGGGGACGACGUCAAAUCAUCAUGCCCCUUAUGACCUGGGCUACACACGUGCUACAAUGGAUGGUACAACGAGUUGCGAGACCGCUAGGUUUAGCUAAUCUCUUAAACCAUUCUCAGUUCGGAUUGUA